Molecule: ribosomal RNA, 381 nt
Filed under: uncultured eukaryote
Lineage: Eukaryota
Description: SSU rRNA
Rfam family: Eukaryotic small subunit ribosomal RNA
Source: RNAcentral
AGCUCCAAUAGCGUACAUUAACCUUGUUGCGGUUAAAAAGCUCGUAGUUGGAUUUCGGCUGAGGACGAUCGGUCCGCCCUCUGGGUGAGUAUAUGGCUCGGCCUUGGCAUCUUUCUGGAGAACGUAGCUGCACUUGACUUUGUGGCGCGGUAUCCACGACUUUUACUUUGAGGAAGUUACAGUGUUCCAAGCAGGCGCACGCCUUGAAUACAUCAGCGUGGAAUAGUAAGAUCGGACCUCGGUUCUAGUUUGUUGGUUUCUAGAGCUGAGGUAAUGAUUAAUAGGGGUAGUUGGGGGCAUUCGUAUUUUAUUGUCAGAGGUGAAAUUCUUGGAUUUGUUACAGACGGACUACUGCGACAGCACUUGCCAAGGGUGUUUUCA